RNAcentral lists this ribosomal RNA (1950 nucleotides) under wastewater metagenome. RNAcentral's name for it is "bacterial LSU rRNA". The stretch from base 1 to 1635 matches the Rfam family "Bacterial large subunit ribosomal RNA", at positions 1068 to 2925 of the family's 2925-position model. The record is from RNAcentral.
UAAGGAGGUGAAAUUUCUCAGAUAGCUAGGAGGUUAGCUUAGAAGCAGCUAUCCUUUAAAAAGUGCGUAACAGCUUACUAGUUAAGAGAUUUUGCGCCGAAGAUUUCCGGGACUCAAGUUUAGUACCGAAGAUACGACUUGGUAUUUUUAAUACCAGGGGUAGGGAAGCGUUCUUAUUGCACUGAAGCUAAACCGUGAGGUUUGGUGGAGCGAUGAGAAGUGAGAAUGUUGGCAUGAGUAACCACAAUUGAAGUGAGAUUCUUCAACACCGUAAAUCCAAGGUUUCCUUGGCAAUGUAGAUCAACCAAGGGUUAGGCGGGCCUUAGGAGAAGCCGAAAGGUUUAUCUGAUGGACAGCCGGUUAAUAUUCCGGCCCUCUAACAUUUUUCUGAAGGGUGACGCGAUUUAGUAACUUGAGCGGAUUAUUGGAUUUCCGUCGACUAUUUAAGGGGCAACCCAAGAAUAGGAGCGUAGCUUAUCCUCGGAUAAGUUAAGUCAAGUGAGCAAGUCGACAAGAAAAGCCCGCAAGGUUAAAAAUGUUAGAUCCGUACUAAAACCGACACAGGUGGAUGGGCACAAGUGUGCCAAGGUGAACAAGUGAAAGAUCCUGAAGGAACUCGGCAAAAAAGUGAUCGUAACUUAGGAAUAAGAUCCGCCUUUCUUUGCAAAAAGAAAGGCCACAGCAAGCGUUUCUCUAGCGACUGUUUAUCAAAAACACAGGUCCCUGCUAAUUCGUAAGAGGAAGUAUAGGGGCUGAGGCCUGACCAGUGCCGGAGUGUUAAAAGUGGCGGUUGCCUCGCUCUUGUUUCAUAAAACGAUCCUGAGUUCUUUUUAGUAGUUUGAUUAGUUAAGAUAAUAAUAAUUUAAUGUGUCUUUUUAAAAUAGGUAAGACAUAUUGCGAUAUUAAGGAACUCAGAGAUUGUGUUCGUGAAUCGAGAGCGGGGCAGCUGACUGCUCCAAGCCUCCGGUGAACGUCCGCGGUAACUCUGACCGUGUUAAAGUAGCGUAAUCCCUUGUCGGGUAAGUUCCGACCCGCAUGAAAGGCUUAACGACUGGAGAACUGUCUCCAGGAUCUGCUUGGUGAAAUCGCAAUAGAGGCGAGAAUGCCUCUUACCUGUGGCUAGACAAGAAGACCCCAGGAGCUUUACUAUAUCCUGGCAUUGAAUUUUGGUAAUAAUUGCGUAGCGUAGGAGGGAGACUUUGAAGCUAUCUUUUCGGGGAUAGUGGAGUCGCCAAUGAAACACCUCUCUUUUAAUAUCAGGGUUCUAACUUUACUAUCUGAGAAGGGUAGUAGAAGACAGUGCUUGGUUGGUAGUUUAAGUGGGGCGCUUUUCUCCUAAAAAGUAACGGAGAAGUUUAAAGGUUGGCUAGAUCCGGAUGGAAAUCGGAUUGGUCCUGUAAAGGGAUAAGCCAGCUUGACUGCAAGACGGGUAUGUCGCGCAGAUGCGAAAGCAGAACUUAGUGAACCGACCAUGGUUCGUAGGACCGUGGGAGAUCAUCAGACAAAAGUUACCCUGGGGAUAACAGGCUGGUAGUGCCCAAGAGUCCAUAUCAACGGCACUGUUCGGCACCUUAACAUAUCGGGGUGCAUUAACAGCAAUGUUAUUUAAGAAAUUGGCUUAUAACGGUGGACUCCAUAGUGAAAAUCAGCUAUAACAUAAUCAUUAUGGACAAUACCGUGGGAAGUCUAACACAAUUACAAAGAUCAUUGAUUAUCGGUUCGGUUUUAGGUGACGGGGAUAUUAGAAUUAUACCUGGUCACAAAGAUGCUUUUUUAGAAAUAAAACAUUUCCUAAAAGCAAAAGAUUAUGUAGAUUGGAAAUAUUCUGUACUAAAGAAUAUUUGCAAUUCCGAACCUAAGGAAAGAGAAACCAAUAAAGGUAGAAUGGCUUAUUGUUUUUUUACUAAACAAAAUAAAGAAAUUACAGAAAUAUAUAAUCUCUUUUAUCAA